AUUCGUUAGGAAAAUAACUACUUUUCGCAACUACUUGGCGAAAAGUACUUCUAUGUAAUAUUUGCAUCUCAAUAGUUUACUUUUCGCGGUUGUUGCAGAAAACGUUGUAUGCAACACGUUGCGAAAAGUGUGUUUUCGUCACACGAUGUGGUUAUCAAACUCGCUUCUCUCGUUUGAUAACAUCACGUUACAUCUAGUUACGAAAACAAAAACUUUUCGCAACUUGUUGCAUAAAUAACUAAUAC
This is a long non-coding RNA of Bradysia coprophila, 245 nucleotides long. The record is from RefSeq and is a predicted model, not a curated record. Lineage: Eukaryota; Metazoa; Arthropoda; Insecta; Diptera; Sciaridae.